AGAGUUUGAUCAUGGCUCAGGAUGAACNCUAGCGGCAGGCUUAAUACAUGCAAGUCGAGGGGCAUCAAGGUACACGAAAGUGUAUUGUUGGCGACCGGCGGACGGGUGAGUAAUAGGUAGGUAACCUACCUCAUACUGAGGCAUAGCUGGGAGAAAUUCCAGGUAAUUCCUCAUGAGGUUAUAUGACACAUGUGAUAUAAUCAAAGGUAUCGCAAGGUACUGGUAUGAGAUGGGCUUACUGACCAUUAGCUAGUUGGUGAGAUAAGAGCUCACCAAGGCGAAGAUGGUUAGGGGUUUUGAGAGAGAGAUCCCCCACAUUGGAACUGAGAUACGGUCCAGACUCCUACGGGAGGCAGCAGUAGGGAAUAUUGGGCAAUGGGCGGAAGCCUGACCCAGCCAUGCCGCGUGAAGGAAGACGGCCUUAUGGGUUGUAAACUUCUUUACUAUGCGACUAACUAGAUUUACGAGAUAAUUCUAUAGAAUGUAGCAUAGCAAAAAGCACCGGCUAACUCCGUGCCAGCAGCCGCGGUAAUACGGAGGGUGCGAGCGUUAUUCGGAAUUACUGGGUUUAAAGGGUGCGUAGGCGGCUAAGUAAGUUGUCAUUGAAAGGCUACAGCUCAACUGUAGUAGUGGUGGCGAUACUGCUUAGCUAAGAACAUGGGAGGGGUACUUGGAAUGUGUGGUGUAGCGGUGAAAUGCGUAGAUAUCACACAGAACACCAGAGGCGAAGGCGGAGUACUAGACCAUAGUUGACGCUGAGGCACGAAAGCGUGGGGAUCAAACAGGAUUAGAUACCCUGUAGUCCACGCCCUAAACGAUGAUCACUAGAUAUUGGCGACAAACAGUCAGUGUCCAAGCGAAAGUGAUAAGUGAUCCACCUGGGGACUACGGCCGCAAGGUUAAACUCAAAGGAAUUGACGGGGCCCGCACAAGCGGAGGAGCAUGUGUUUAAUUCGAUGGUACGCGAG
This 968-nucleotide ribosomal RNA is filed under the name uncultured bacterium. RNAcentral describes it as "bacterial SSU rRNA". It matches the Rfam family "Bacterial small subunit ribosomal RNA", at positions 8 to 965 of the family's 1533-position model. The record is from RNAcentral.